GAAAGGAGGAAACUUUGAGUGAAAUUUUGAGAAAAAUUGAAACCAAACAGCAGCUACUAAAGUGCUGUAUGCAGAGACAAGAAAAAAGGCACCAAAAUACUGUGCACAUGUGAAACAGUGGCAGAAAAAUCUUCAAAGUAACGGUUGUUACCGUUAUUUAACAGCCGUUAUCGUUACCGUUAUGUAAUGGCGUAACGGCCGUUAUAGUUGCAACUCCUUGUUUGCUUGUAAA
RNAcentral lists this unclassified non-coding RNA (232 nucleotides) under Hevea brasiliensis (rubber tree). Lineage: Eukaryota; Viridiplantae; Streptophyta; Magnoliopsida; Malpighiales; Euphorbiaceae. The record is from RNAcentral.